RNAcentral lists this ribosomal RNA (433 nucleotides) under uncultured bacterium. RNAcentral's name for it is "partial 16S ribosomal RNA". It matches the Rfam family "Bacterial small subunit ribosomal RNA", at positions 29 to 507 of the family's 1533-position model. The record is from RNAcentral.
AGCGAACGCUGGCGGCAGGCUUAACACAUGCAAGUCGAGCGGGCACUUCGGUGUCAGCGGCAGACGGGUGAGUAACACGUGGGAACGUACCCUUUGGUUCGGAAUAACGCUGGGAAACUAGCGCUAAUACCGGAUACGCCCUUUUGGGGAAAGGCUUGCUGCCGAAGGAUCGGCCCGCGUCUGAUUAGCUAGUUGGUGGGGUAAUGGCCUACCAAGGCGACGAUCAGUAGCUGGUCUGAGAGGAUGAUCAGCCGCACUGGGACUGAGACACGGCCCAGACUCCUACGGGAGGCAGCAGUGGGGAAUAUUGGACAAUGGGCGCAAGCCUGAUCCAGCCAUGCCGCGUGAGUGAUGAAGGCCUUAGGGUUGUAAAGCUCUUUUGUCCGGGACGAUAAUGACGGUACCGGAAGAAUAAGCCCCGGCUAACUUCGUG